Molecule: ribosomal RNA, 32 nt
Filed under: Platanus mexicana var. mexicana
Lineage: Eukaryota; Viridiplantae; Streptophyta; Magnoliopsida; Proteales; Platanaceae
Source: RNAcentral
GGGUGCGAUCCUACCAGCACUAAUGCACCGGA